Molecule: long non-coding RNA, 1613 nt
Filed under: Aquilegia coerulea
Lineage: Eukaryota; Viridiplantae; Streptophyta; Magnoliopsida; Ranunculales; Ranunculaceae
Description: long non-coding RNA (ACOE_LNC002372)
Source: RNAcentral
AGAAGAUCAAAGAAACUACUACGGAGUUCAGUUGCAACCCUCUUACAAUUUCAAUGGCCUCUGCUGAGGUAACUCAAAUACUAAUUUGAUGUUUUGUUUUUGAUAAGUACCAUAAACUAAUUUUUUUAUAAAAAUGAUAUAUACAUCAUCGUCAUACUCGCAUUAGAAAUUAAACUGUCAAUCAAGGUUACAGUUUUGGUUGUGAAAGAUAUUUCACAAACCAUGUGCAAAACCAUGGGUACACGUACCGUACACUGAUCCUAUCCCAUAUAAAGGGUUGUGUAUAUGUCGACCUAAAGAUUAGUAAACAAACAAGAGGUUUAGUUAUGUGUCGGACUCAGUACCAUUAAAAACCGAUUGGCAAAUAUCAGUUUGAAACAUGCAAGAAAAACCUGAAUUGCAAAACCAUCAAUUAAUGAAUGAAACCAUUUUGUGAUCUUGGCGUGUUGAUUCAACCAUUUUGUGAGGAGAGAUCAUUCAUAUUCACUUAUUCAGUGAUUGACUUGGUAUUUUCAAGCACAUUAUUAGGCUUUCACUAUCAAUAUUUGGGUAAUUAGUUGUGCAGUCCUCCCUUGUACAAGACGGUGUUUGUUCAAAAGUCCUGGACAUUGUGUAUGUAUUUAUGUGGUUUUUACGUGUUGAUUGAUCGACCCAUUAGACAUCAAAUUGACUCAAAAAUUAAUAUAUAGGAACUGAGUCUGAUUAUUGGCAGUCCCCUUCUAGUAAGAGUAGACCCAUAGAAAGGCACCCAUGUCGACCACUCGACCCAGGGAAGCACCCUAAAGCAAUAGUUUCUUUCAUUUUCUCAGUACCUGUACGGCCUCUCCUCUCUUACAUCAUAGAGUCCCAGACAUUGAUAUCUGAAUUUUAAAUUAAAUAAAUGUUAUUAUUAAAUUAAUUAUAGAAAAAAAAAAAAAUUCUGUUGAAUUGGUCCCGCGGAAAAUUAGUUUAUGUAUUAGUAACUUAUAUGUUAUGGUUGAUGACUAUUGGGUCCUGUAGGUUGCAUCCAUAUCACUGACAUCUGCAUCGGCUGUGGAGAAUAACACAAGAGAGGAAUUAGCUAAGACCCAAGAGACCAAAAAGGUGGAAGGGGAGGUUGCGCAGCCUACACCAGAAAUUAGUGUUGAAGAACUGGUAUAAAACAUUGUACCAUCUACCUACUCUGCUACUCAGUCAAGUUUGUCAGACAUGAAUAUACUCUAUUUUAAGUUAGUAAUAUCAGUAAACUUUAAUCUGAAUUGCAGCAUUUUAUUUUUCUCAUCUAGUUCUUGUCUUGCUUUUUUGCAGUAAUCCAAAUAUCGACAUGGAAAAUUCGAUUCCAGAUGACGAAGUUUAAAAAUUCGGAGCACUUCAGACUCUUUGGAGUAACUUCGUCUAUUUUUAUUGUGAUUGUGAUGACCUGGUGUGUAAUCUUACAACUUUUAGUUGCUUUCUUCUUUGUUAUGUUGUUAUUGUCGUAUGUGAGUAUGCGACAAUAUGAUGUUAUCCAGACUCAACGGCAUAGGUCACUUUUACCUUUGUCCUUUGUUAACAACAUUCAUACACAGUAUGCGAUAAUAUGAUGAGGAUACGCCUUCCUUUUGUGAUUGAAUAUUAUUUCGUGCUUGGACCUU